GCGAUCCUCCCACCUCAGUCUCCUGAGCAGCCGGGACUACAGGCAUAUGCCACCAUGCCUAGCUAAUUUUUGAUUUUUUUGUAGAGAUAGGAUCUUGCUAUGUUGCUCAGGCUGGCCUCAGGCUCCUGGACACCAGCAACCCUCCUACCUCAGUCUCCCAAAGUGCUGAGAUUAUAGGUGUGAGCCACUGCACCUGGCCUUUGUCUGUCUUAUGUAUUUUUAUAUUUCCCUGCAAUCUGUAUUGGGGGUAAGAGACAAUGACUCUUAUUGAGGUGGAGGGCAUCGUGUUUCAGAGAAACUGGCACUCAACAACUAUUUCAUUUGCUCUUCUACAUUUUCUAGCCUCUUUUGCAGUUUGGUUGGGCU
RNAcentral lists this long non-coding RNA (366 nucleotides) under Pan troglodytes (chimpanzee). RNAcentral's name for it is "long non-coding RNA NONPTRT016823". The record is from RNAcentral. Lineage: Eukaryota; Metazoa; Chordata; Mammalia; Primates; Hominidae.